Molecule: ribosomal RNA, 409 nt
Filed under: Fusobacteriota bacterium
Lineage: Bacteria; Fusobacteriati; Fusobacteriota
Description: Fusobacteria bacterium partial 16S ribosomal RNA
Rfam family: Bacterial small subunit ribosomal RNA
Source: RNAcentral
UGGGGAAUAUUGCACAAUGGAGGGAACUCUGAUGCAGCAACGCCGCGUGCGGGAUGACGGCCUUCGGGUUUUAAACCGCUUUCAGCCAUGACGAAGCUUUUGUGACGGUAGUGGUAGAAGAAGCACCGGCUAACUACGUGCCAGCAGCCGCGGUGAUACGUAGGGUGCUAGCGUUUUCCGGAAUUAUUGGGCGUAAAGAGCUUGUAGGCGGUUUGUCGCGUCGAUAGUGUAAACACGCAGCUUAACUGUGUGCCUGCUGUCGAUACAGGCUGACUAGAGGAGGGUAGUGGGGAAUGGAAUUCCCGGUGCGGCGGUGGAAUGCGCAGAUAUCGGGAGGAACGACAGUGGCGAAGGCGGUUCUCUGGUCCUUUCCUGACGCUGAGAAGCGAAAGCGUGGGUAGCAAACAGG